Molecule: transfer RNA, 64 nt
Filed under: Gyrodactylus parvae
Lineage: Eukaryota; Metazoa; Platyhelminthes; Monogenea; Gyrodactylidea; Gyrodactylidae
Description: tRNA-Met
Source: RNAcentral
AAAAAGAUAAGUUAAAUAAACUGUUUGAUUCAUGAUCAAAAAAUACACUUUUGUGUUCUUUUUA